Sapajus apella (tufted capuchin) is the source of this 325-nucleotide long non-coding RNA. RefSeq lists it as uncharacterized. The transcript is spliced from 3 exons. The record is from RefSeq and is a predicted model, not a curated record. Lineage: Eukaryota; Metazoa; Chordata; Mammalia; Primates; Cebidae.
CCAAUCAGCAGGGGUAGGAGGGAAGCCAGCCUCUGACUCUCCUCCCAGUGUUCUCACCUCUCCAGCAAGCUAGCAGUGCUUCAGUGUGGUUAGAAGUGUCUUGUUGAGGACAAAGAAGACCAAACACAUGACAAUAGUUUACCUCUGUGCACUGGCGAGGAGCCAUGAAGCACAGCAUCCAAAGAUGGAAGAAGCCAGACUGGCACGUGGGCUGGCUGGAAAGGAAAAGAGGAGCCAGACAUGGGGCUACAUUCCAAGACCCUCAGUGGAUGCCUGAACCUGGAGUACUACUGACCCUCCGUAUUCAUCUUUUUCCACUUGAGAA